UAUCAUUGGCCGCUAGUGGCUAGUGGAGGGGGAUGCGCAGAAUGGCUGAAAAUUGGACCGCCUUCUUACGUGAUGCGAACUUUAGUAUCAUUAGAUAUUCCAACCAAACAGUAAUUAUCAUGAGCACAACACACGGAGGAAGAAUGACAUACACAACGAGCACAGAAAUUUGAGCUUGGCGCAAGAGGGUGUCCACUACACUGGAACGAAACUCUUCAGUGAUCCUCCUCCUGAAAUACAGACAGAGAUUCAUAACAAGAAAGCAGUCCUUCUAGAGAAAUGCUUACUUGAAUAACAGUCUUUUGGUGUGUCUGACUGCAACUCAACAUCUCCAGUAUAUGGACAGCCAAUGCCCUACUGAAGCAGAGAACAGUAAAGAUAUGGAGGCACUGGCCGAAUUCUGAAGUUAAGACCUGUGGAAUACAAAUGCAGCUUCCUGCUCUGUGCUGGUCCCACAGCUGCCCAGCUCCAGGUACUGAGUGUGUGUAGACACUGAUAAUGGUGUGACUAGUCGUCAUCCUCUUGAUCUGUGAAAAGUGCGCCAAGGCUGCCGUCCACCCUCAGGUCUGGCAUCUGGGCAGUAAUUCUGUCCAGGACGUCUUGGUCUCCAUCACAGUAACCAAUUUCCAGCUCUCUGUACAACAGCACAAGUGGAUGACAGAGGGCGGCGCGGCGCUCCAUCACAUCAUCAUCGGCAGCCUUUGGAAUUUGCGCCACCCUUGCUCUUGCGCCCCUGGCAGGGGCCACUCUUGCCAACCUGGGUACACCCCUGGAUAAGCAUCAACCACUGUGCUGCAUUCUACGAGGGUGGUUUGAAAAGUUACCGGAAUCACCACGAGAGGUUAGCGCAAGCGCAACGAGUUGUUCACGUGAUAUUCAUUGGAGUGUUGCCUGUAAACACGUGCCACAUCAGUGCUCUUGGAAGAGAGCUGUGGCGGUGACAUGGCUCUGUUGUUGUUCCUGCGUAGUGAUUUGCAAAGACAUUGGGAGGGAAUCGAGAUUCGAACAGUGAUUAAGUUCUGUGACGAAACAAGCUGGGAUAUUUUUACUUGCCCUCUUGGUUUGCCAUCUGCCUCCUUAAAUUCAUUUUUUCAAUUUAACUAAGUACCAUUAACUUAUGUGCAUGUAAUCUGUAUUUUCAUAAAAGAGAAAGGUUGGUCCUCAGCCUUAAAGAAUAUACCACCAGAUCUAA
Schistocerca serialis cubense is the source of this 1192-nucleotide long non-coding RNA. RefSeq lists it as uncharacterized. The transcript is spliced from 5 exons. The record is from RefSeq and is a predicted model, not a curated record. NCBI's taxonomy places the organism in Eukaryota, Metazoa, Arthropoda, Insecta, Orthoptera, Acrididae.